This 305-nucleotide unclassified non-coding RNA is filed under the name plant metagenome. RNAcentral describes it as "partial contains 5.8S ribosomal RNA, internal transcribed spacer 2, and large subunit ribosomal RNA". The stretch from base 1 to 105 matches the Rfam family "5.8S ribosomal RNA", at positions 50 to 154 of the family's 154-position model. The record is from RNAcentral.
GAAAUGCGAUAAGUAAUGUGAAUUGCAGAAUUCAGUGAAUCAUCGAAUCUUUGAACGCACAUUGCGCCCGCCAGUAUUCUGGCGGGCAUGCCUGUUCGAGCGUCAUUUCAACCAUCAAGCCCCGGGCUUGUGUUGGGGACCUGCGGCUGCCGCAGGCCCUGAAAACCAGUGGCGGACUCGCUGUCACACCGAGCGUAGUAGAUUCUCAUCUCGCUCAGGGCGUGCUGCGGGUUCCGGCCGUAAAACAGCCUUAUUUUACCCAAGGUUGACCUCGGAUCAGGUAGGAAGACCCGCUGAACUUAAGC